RNAcentral lists this ribosomal RNA (529 nucleotides) under Bifidobacterium longum. RNAcentral describes it as "bacterial SSU rRNA". It matches the Rfam family "Bacterial small subunit ribosomal RNA", at positions 164 to 707 of the family's 1533-position model. The record is from RNAcentral. Lineage: Bacteria; Bacillati; Actinomycetota; Actinomycetes; Bifidobacteriales; Bifidobacteriaceae.
UAAUGCCGGAUGUUCCAGUUGAUCGCAUGGUCUUCUGGGAAAGCUUUCGCGGUAUGGGAUGGGGUCGCGUCCUAUCAGCUUGACGGCGGGGUAACGGCCCACCGUGGCUUCGACGGGUAGCCGGCCUGAGAGGGCGACCGGCCACAUUGGGACUGAGAUACGGCCCAGACUCCUACGGGAGGCAGCAGUGGGGAAUAUUGCACAAUGGGCGCAAGCCUGAUGCAGCGACGCCGCGUGAGGGAUGGAGGCCUUCGGGUUGUAAACCUCUUUUAUCGGGGAGCAAGCGUGAGUGAGUUUACCCGUUGAAUAAGCACCGGCUAACUACGUGCCAGCAGCCGCGGUAAUACGUAGGGUGCAAGCGUUAUCCGGAAUUAUUGGGCGUAAAGGGCUCGUAGGCGGUUCGUCGCGUCCGGUGUGAAAGUCCAUCGCUUAACGGUGGAUCCGCGCCGGGUACGGGCGGGCUUGAGUGCGGUAGGGGAGACUGGAAUUCCCGGUGUAACGGUGGAAUGUGUAGAUAUCGAAGAAGAAA